GUCCCGUGUGGAUCCGGAUUCUCGAAAAAACACAAUAAAUGAAAUAAUCAGGCGAGCAACGUCAGGAGGGGAGUGGCCCCAGGAGCCUUCAUCCCAGGAGUUCCUGUGCAGCCAGUCCUCCUCAGAUACCCAAACAAGCUGGAUACUGUGACUUGGACAUGGCAAGGAUA
Hipposideros armiger (great roundleaf bat) is the source of this 170-nucleotide long non-coding RNA. RefSeq lists it as uncharacterized. The record is from RefSeq and is a predicted model, not a curated record. The transcript has 3 exons. NCBI's taxonomy places the organism in Eukaryota, Metazoa, Chordata, Mammalia, Chiroptera, Hipposideridae.